UUCCGGGUGAUCCCGCGGGACCUGACUGCUAUCGGAUUGGUACUAAGCCAUGCGAGUCGUUGUAGCAAUACAAGGCGGACGGCUCAGUAACACGUAGUCAACCUAACCUAUGGACGUGGAUAACCUCGGGAAACUGAGAAUAAACCGCGAUAGAUCAUUAUGCCUGGAAUGGCUUAUGGUUCAAACAAUUUAUUGCCGUAGGAUGGGACUGCGGCCUAUCAGCUUGUUGGUGAGGUAAUGGCCCACCAAGGCUAUAACAGGUACGGGCUCUGAGAGGAGAAGCCCGGAGAUGGGUACUGAGACACGGACCCAGGCCCUAUGGGGCGCAGCAGGCGAGAAACCUUAGCAAUGUGCGAAAGCACGACUAGGUUAAUCCGAGUGAUUUCUGUUGAAGAAAUCUUUUGUCAGUCGUAAAACCACAGACGAAUAAGGGGUGGGCAAGUCUGGUGUCAGCCGCCGCGGUAAUACCAGCACCUCGAGUGGUCAGGAGGUUUAUUGGGCCUAAAGCAUCCGUAGCCGGCUACGCAAGUCUCCGGUUAAAUCCAGCUGCUCAACAGAUGGGCUGCCGGAGAUACUACAUAGCUAGGGAGCGGGAGAGGUAGACGGUAUUCUGUGGGUAGGGGUAAAAUCCACUGAUCCAUAGAGGACCACCAGUGGCGAAGGCGGUCUACCAGAACGCGUUCGACGGUGAGGGAUGAAAGCUGGGGGAGCAAACCGGAUUAGAUACCCGGGUAGUCCCAGCUGUAAACGAUGCAAACUCGGUGAUGCAUUGGCUUAUGGCCAAUGCAGUGCCGCAGGGAAGCCGUUAAGUUUGCCGCCUGGGACGUACGGACGCAAGUCUGAAACUUAAAGGAAUUGGCGGGGGAGCA
This 869-nucleotide ribosomal RNA is filed under the name uncultured archaeon. Its description in RNAcentral is "bacterial SSU rRNA". It matches the Rfam family "Archaeal small subunit ribosomal RNA", at positions 1 to 878 of the family's 1478-position model. The record is from RNAcentral.